UACGUAGGGCGCAAGCGUUGUCCGGAAUUAUUGGGCGUAAAGAGCUCGUAGGCGGUUUGUCGCGUCUGUCGUGAAAGCUUGGGGCUUAACCCCAAGUCUGCGGUGGAUACGGGCAGACUAGAGGCAGGUAGGGGAGAACGGAAUUCCCGGUGUAGCGGUGAAAUGCGCAGAUAUCAGGAGGAACACCGGUGGCGAAGGCGGGUCUCUGGGCAGUAACUGACGCUGAGGAGCGAAAGCGUGGGGAGCAAACAGG
This 253-nucleotide ribosomal RNA is filed under the name uncultured bacterium. RNAcentral describes it as "partial 16S ribosomal RNA". It matches the Rfam family "Bacterial small subunit ribosomal RNA", at positions 524 to 776 of the family's 1533-position model. The record is from RNAcentral.